ACCGGCGCACGGGUGCGUAACGCGUAUGCAACCUGCCUUGUACAGGAGAAUAGCCCGAAGAAAUUCGGAUUAAUGCUCCAUAAUGAUAUUGAUUGGCAUCGAUUAAUAUUUAAAGCUACGGCGGUACAAGAUGGGCAUGCGUCCUAUUAGCUAGUUGGUGUGGUAACGGCACACCAAGGCAACGAUAGGUAGGGGGCCUGAGAGGGUUAUCCCCCACACUGGUACUGAGACACGGACCAGACUCCUACGGGAGGCAGCAGUGAGGAAUAUUGGUCAAUGGAGGCAACUCUGAACCAGCCAUGCCGCGUGCAGGAUUGACGGCCCUAUGGGUUGUAAACUGCUUUUAUAUAGGAAGAAUCUCCCGAACGUGUUCGGGAUUGACGGUAUUAUAUGAAUAAGGACCGGCUAACUCCGUGCCAGCAGCCGCGGUAAUACGGAGGGUCCAAGCGUUAUCCGGAAUCAUUGGGUUUAAAGGGUGCGUAGGCGGACAUAUAAGUCAGUGGUGAAAUCCCGAGGCUCAACUUCGGAACUGCCAUUGAUACUGUAUUGUCUUGAGUUUAGUUGAAGUAGGCGGAAUGUGUAGUGUAGCGGUGAAAUGCAUAGAUAUUACACAGAACACCGAUAGCGAAGGCAGCUUACUAAGCUACAACUGACGCUGAGGCACGAAAGCGUGGGGAGCGAACAGGAUUAGAUACCCUGGUAGUCCACGCAGUANACGAUGGUCACUCGAUAUCGGCGAUACAAUGUCGGUGUUCAAGCGAAAGUGAUAAGUGACCCACCUGGGGAGUAC
RNAcentral lists this ribosomal RNA (790 nucleotides) under uncultured marine bacterium. RNAcentral describes it as "bacterial SSU rRNA". It matches the Rfam family "Bacterial small subunit ribosomal RNA", at positions 94 to 883 of the family's 1533-position model. The record is from RNAcentral.